Molecule: long non-coding RNA, 579 nt
Filed under: Heterocephalus glaber (naked mole-rat)
Lineage: Eukaryota; Metazoa; Chordata; Mammalia; Rodentia; Bathyergidae
Description: lncRNA (ENSHGLG00100044746.1)
Source: RNAcentral
GGCCGUCUGAUCUUGGAUUUUCAGUUUCCAAGACUGUGAGCUGCAUAAAUCUCUUUUCAUUGUGCAUUAUCCAGCUAUUUCAUCACAGUAACGGGAAAUGAACUAAUACAUAUGGGAAAGAAAUUUUCAUUUCAAGUAUAGACUUUCCCCCGUCUCCAUUAUCUCUCACAAAAUUUGCUUUCUAACUAAGGCAAGGUAACAGAGUGGGGGCUAAAGACUAGAAAGGAGAUGCACUAUUAGGAAUGAUAUCCAAAUGAUAUUUGUGAUCUCAAGGCUGUAUCUUUUGCUUUUGUAAGGAUUGAUUAACUCUGGCUAUGCUGAAGAGUACUUAUUUUCUCUCUCUCUUUUCCUGUCUCUCACAUCACCAGUGGAACCCAAUGAAACAGUGAUUGGCUGAUGAAAUCUAUCAUGACUGCCAGACACAAAGAAAUGGACUUUCCUGGUGCUGGAAUUCAAGAGAAAGACCUCCAGAAAAGGGAGAGGCCCUGCCGACUCCAAGAUGGGAAAGGAAGGCAGGGGUCCAGGACAAGGAAGGCGUUUGGCUGGGGCCUGUGGGCCCAAGCUGCUGCAGUCUGGGUG